Molecule: small RNA, 1029 nt
Filed under: Pan troglodytes (chimpanzee)
Lineage: Eukaryota; Metazoa; Chordata; Mammalia; Primates; Hominidae
Description: retained intron
Source: RNAcentral
GGCAGCUUCUGAGAGCCUGGGCAGGCAGCAGCUGGCUGACCAAGUCCACUGGAAGAGAAGGCUUGUGCCAGCCGGGAGAAGGAAGCCGGGGACAGGAUGAAAGCAACAACACCUUUACAGACAGUCGACCGGCCCAAGGACUGGUACAAGACGAUGUUUAAGCAAAUUCACAUGGUGCACAAGCCGGAUGAUGACACAGACAUGUAUAAUACUCCUUAUACAUACAAUGCAGGUCUGUACAACCCACCCUACAGUGCUCAGUCACACCCUGCUGCAAAGACCCAAACCUACAGACCUCUUUCCAAAAGCCACUCUGACAACAGCCCCAAUGCCUUUAAGGAUGUGUCCUCCCCAGUGCCUCCCCCACAUGUUCCACCUCCAGUCCCACCGCUUCGACCAAGAGAUCGGUCUUCAACAGAAAAGCAUGACUGGGAUCCUCCAGACAGAAAAGUGGACACAAGAAAAUUUCGGUCUGAGCCAAGGAGUAUUUUUGAAUAUGAACCUGGCAAGUCAUCAAUUCUUCAGCAUGAAAGACCAGUAAGCACUUGUCAUUAAACAGAAUAUGCCAGCUCGCUGGGCUCCCAGGGCUCCCCAAUAAACCUGAAUUUCAGACCCAUUAGCAAUUUUUGUCACAAAGGUAAUCACUUAGAAAUCAUGUUUAUUUUGUAUCAUGAUUUGUACAUCUCAUCUCAGAAUUGAAAGAUACAUGUUCUAAUAUAUUGUCUUUACUGACCAAAUACAAGUGUGUGUGUGUGUGUGUGUGUGUAUUUAUAUAUAUAUACACACACACACAUGCAGGUGUAUAUACAUACACAUAUAUACACAUGUGUAUACACACACACAUAUAUAUAUUUAUAUGCAAGAUUCAUUUGCAUGUAACUAUAACUGUGCCUAAUCAUUAAUCAGAGUUUAACUUUUAAAAAAGUUCAUAAAUGCAAUACUUAAUUGCUAUCAUAGCUUGCUAAUGAGAAAAAUCAUUAAUUAAUCUCCCCAAUAUACAUGGACCCAGGCAGUUCUAUCCCUUGUUUU